Molecule: ribosomal RNA, 908 nt
Filed under: Curvularia papendorfii
Lineage: Eukaryota; Fungi; Ascomycota; Dothideomycetes; Pleosporales; Pleosporaceae
Description: LSU rRNA
Rfam family: Eukaryotic large subunit ribosomal RNA
Source: RNAcentral
GCAUAUCAAUAAGCGGAGGAAAAGAAACCAACAGGGAUUGCCCUAGUAACGGCGAGUGAAGCGGCAACAGCUCAAAUUUGAAAUCUGGCUCUUUCAGGGUCCGAGUUGUAAUUUGCAGAGGGCGCUUUGGCUUUGGCAGCGGUCCAAGUUCCUUGGAACAGGACGUCACAGAGGGUGAGAAUCCCGUACGUGGUCGCUAGCUAUUGCCGUGUAAAGCCCCUUCGACGAGUCGAGUUGUUUGGGAAUGCAGCUCUAAAUGGGAGGUAAAUUUCUUCUAAAGCUAAAUAUUGGCCAGAGACCGAUAGCGCACAAGUAGAGUGAUCGAAAGAUGAAAAGCACUUUGGAAAGAGAGUCAAACAGCACGUGAAAUUGUUGAAAGGGAAGCGCUUGCAGCCAGACUUGCUUGCAGUUGCUCAUCCGGGCUUUUGCCCGGUGCACUCUUCUGUAGGCAGGCCAGCAUCAGUUUGGGCGGUGGGAUAAAGGUCUCUGUCACGUACCUCUCUUCGGGGAGGCCUUAUAGGGGAGACGACAUACCACCAGCCUGGACUGAGGUCCGCGCAUCUGCUAGGAUGCUGGCGUAAUGGCUGUAAGCGGCCCGUCUUGAAACACGGACCAAGGAGUCUAACAUCUAUGCGAGUGUUUGGGUGUCAAGCCCGAGCGCGUAAUGAAAGUGAACGGAGGUGGGAACCCGCAAGGGCGCACCAUCGACCGAUCCUGAAGUUUACGGAAGGAUUUGAGUAAGAGCAUGGCUGUUGGGACCCGAAAGAUGGUGAACUAUGCUUGAAUAGGGUGAAGCCAGAGGAAACUCUGGUGGAGGCUCGCAGCGGUUCUGACGUGCAAAUCGAUCGUCAAAUUUGGGCAUAGGGGCGAAAGACUAAUCGAACUAUCUAGUAGCUGGUUCCUGCCGA